UUGGUGUAUGACAUUCCGGCAUUGCCUG
Molecule: small RNA, 28 nt
Filed under: Bombyx mori (domestic silkworm)
Lineage: Eukaryota; Metazoa; Arthropoda; Insecta; Lepidoptera; Bombycidae
Description: ovarian small RNA-9755
Source: RNAcentral